Non-coding RNA from Danio rerio (zebrafish), 580 nucleotides. Lineage: Eukaryota; Metazoa; Chordata; Actinopteri; Cypriniformes; Danionidae. The record is from RefSeq and is a predicted model, not a curated record.
AGAAAAAACACUGGCAGAAUACUCGAUUAAAUAAUAUACAUUAAAAUUAUUUAUUUAUAUAAAUAAUUUAUAAAAGAGUAUUAUACAGCAUUCAAGGGAGUAUUGCUUUAGAAUGACAUCAUCGUGCCUUCUGCUAUAGCAGCAGAACAACUUUACAAACUAUAACAAAUCUCUCUUGUCUGUUAGUUUGUGUUUACUGUUGCUAUGGUGAUUCAGUGUUUGCAAGGGAGUGAGAGAAGAUUGAGAGAAAAAGCGUCAUUUGUAUAUGAGAGUGAAAUCUGCACACGAGUGCCACCUGGAGUUUUCCUGGGUUUUCGCUUUGAUUUUGAGUGAUUUCCUUGGCUGGGUUUUUUGUGUGUGUCGAAGCAUCUGUGAUGAGUCCCUAAUUCACGUUGGACUCGAGGAGAAACUUACGGCGAGCCACCCACGGAACCAACUCUCCUGUUAGACUGUGUGUUUGUGCCACCGGACUGGUAGGAGAGUUCUUUUGAUUGUUUGGAGAAACGAGACUCGGACUCAUCGCGACCUUCCGCUUUUCCUUCUUACUUUUCCUAAAAUCCUCAACGGAAAACCUUUACUG